RNAcentral lists this ribosomal RNA (381 nucleotides) under uncultured microorganism. RNAcentral describes it as "bacterial SSU rRNA". It matches the Rfam family "Bacterial small subunit ribosomal RNA", at positions 346 to 719 of the family's 1533-position model. The record is from RNAcentral.
GCGCAGCAGGCGCGAAUCAUUCGCAAUGGGGAAAGCCUGACGAUGCGACGCCGUGUGAACGAAGAAGGCCCUCGGGUCGUAAAGUUCUUUCGCCUGGGAACAAGAGAGGAGGAUGAAUAAUCCUUUAAUUUGAGGGUACCAGGUAAAGAAGCACCGGCUAACUCCGUGCCAGCAGCUGCGGUAAUACGGAGGGUGCAAGCAUUAAUCGGAUUUAUUGGGCGUAAAGGGCGUGUAGGCGGCCGUUCAAGUCUGUUGUGAAAUUCCGGGGCUCAACCCCGGAGCUGCAAUGGAAACUGGAUGGCUAGAGGAUAGGCGGAGAAAAUGGGAAUUCCACAAGUAGCGGUGAAAUGCGUAGAUAUGUGGAGGAACACCGGUGGCGAA